CCAGGAAGUGUCAUCUCAAAUUCGGAGCCUACCAGGCUGCUGAGGUACUCCCUGUGCCGACUGUACAGAUCUCUGAACACACGCUGCUCGCGCUCCUCCUCCUCCUGCUGCACUUGCACAGAUGCAUUCUCAAUGGUGUAUUUCCACAACUCUCGCUUCUGUCCACCCAGCUCAAUCCAGUAGGCUCCUUUGCUGCCAGUAAAGUCAGGCUUCACUGUGAUCACCCCAUUGCUAUCCACCUUGAUUGUGCAAAGAACAUAUUCAUAUUCCCUCUGACCAAGCUUCCCAUAAGGUCCCAAGUCCCCCAUGAUGUACAUAGUCUGAACAGGAGUGUUAAUCACAUGGUUGUUCUUUAUAAAUUCUUCUGAGGGCUCCCAGGUGAUGAUUUUUGACUUGAGAGAACUCGCUUCUAGUGGCUUUCGGUCCUGUCUUCUCCUCCUCACAUUGGCCAUCCUCUCUGCCAGAUAUGAUGGCAUCUCACAGUCUGAG
This 489-nucleotide long non-coding RNA is filed under the name Gallus gallus (chicken). Lineage: Eukaryota; Metazoa; Chordata; Aves; Galliformes; Phasianidae. The record is from RNAcentral.